UCCCUGGUGGAAACCCAGGCCGGCUAACUCUCGCUCCAGCCGGAAGUAUUCGGGGCGGGUCAGGAGGCGACGAAUGACCUGAAGCACUCCGAAAAUGAGCCCUUUCGAGGGUCGACGGUCCGCGCGGGCCGCAACGUGA
Molecule: non-coding RNA, 139 nt
Filed under: Bradyrhizobium sp. SBR1B
Lineage: Bacteria; Pseudomonadati; Pseudomonadota; Alphaproteobacteria; Hyphomicrobiales; Nitrobacteraceae
Source: RNAcentral